GGCAGUACUCAGUGCGUGAGCCUCCCAGCGUGGCCACCUAAUCUGUCCUCCCACUCUCUCCUCCAGCCCCUUCGAGCCCCUCACCCAGUGACAGGCAUGCAGGGCGGGCGCAGGGCACAAGGCCGGGCUGCCCUCAGCCUGAGGUCUGGUCCCGAUCACAGGACUCAGCAAACACAGCGUGUCUGCAUGUCACUCACCUGGACUGCCAACAUUAGCUUUGUACGUGUCACCACAAUCGUAUGAGGAAAUGCUGACAUACACGAUUUCUUUGCACGACACCGAAGCUCUGCUCACUUCCCACCCGUGGGAGCUGCCGAACGGUUUACUUUCCACACCGGGAACUUGAGUCCCUGAACAUCAGGACGCAGGAAGGCGACGGUGAGGAGGGCCCUCAGCGGGCUUCUAAGAACCCCCAAAACCCGAUGUUUAAAGCAGGAUGCGGGCCACGUGGGAGCUUGUUUUACGCUCAUUCUUUAAAUUCUCCGUAUAAUUACAUACACCCUUCUAGAGACAACCUUAAAUACCACUGCUCAGAACGAGAUUAAUGAAAUGCCAUUUUGCUCGACUUCUGAAAACAGUAACUAACAGUGACGUGCUGACUGUUUGCCACACGUUGUUCUGAGCGUCUCCUGCGCGAUCACGGUUACUCCUCAAGCAACUCCUGGUGUGGAAACCUUGGCAUCCUCUCCACAGAUGGAGACACUGAGGCACAGAGCAAGUCCUUGCGCAGACUCACACAGCCAGCAGUGAAACCACAUUUAAACUGGAUGCUCUCAGCCCUUCCCGCUCGUAGAGGGUGCAGCGCCUGACACUGAUACCGGUGUCAGCGGGGACUGAGGACGGGGCCCCAAACUGGCAGGACCUCCCUGGGAAGCAUUUAGGGGUCCCCACCACAGCACGCCUUAGGCUCAUGCCUUUCCGACCUGGCACAUUCCUCUACACAGAAUCCAGCCGAAAUAGUCAGAAAUUCAGAAGAUUUGUAUUAUGAAAACAUUCGUUAAGAACAAACUCCUAACACUGGAAACGGCCUACGUAAACGUCUACCCACAGGACAAGGGCGACUCCUGGUUCCCCCAGGGAGGAGGACGAGGCAGCCACUGGAAGUGGAGUGUGACAGAAAUGCCCGGGUCCAAAUGUGAAGUGAAAACAGCAGGACACAAGGCUGUCGGGGUACAGCAGAGGUACCAACUGGGAUCAAAGAAGCAGGAGGGAAGCAGUGACGACCUCUGGGAGAAGGAGAGACGCAUCUUCUAGGUGGUUCCUGUAACCAUUUCCCUUGAUAAGUGCAAAGGACAGGACAGAGUCAGACCUGGGCAGGGUCAGCAGAAACAGCAGGGGAGCUCGCUGCUGCCUCUGAGGGACCCUGUCAAUGGCCCACCCACCGGGGGACACUGGUGAUGCCACGUGGGGCCCACAAACCUUUUCAGUUUCCUUCCAGGCUCAUUCAGGAAGGACUCACAGAGGUAUGAGGAGUAUUUGCUAACGAGGAGAUGAAUAAACUAGUAUCUUUUAGAUGCAGAUCCUAGUGAGGGGCAGAAAUCACUACCUACCAGGGCCCCUCCCCACGUGGAAAUCCUACUUCUGCUUUUCAAGACUGUCACUCUGGAGCUGCAUCAGAAAAACAGCAGCAUUUCAAAGAUCAUUCAUUCAGUCCAUAUACUUAAGAUUCCAGAUGCAUUAAAAACUUCACUCAGUAAAAUCUACUUUUAGGCAGAAAACACUACGAACAAGCUCUUCUUGCUUUCUGGUUUGCUACAAUUAAUAAUUUAGCAUAUUAAGGGGACAACUAAGAGAAACACUGAGUUCUUAAUCUCAAGUCACAUUAAUUAUAUAUCCCUUAAACAUGAAUCUUUCCUUGGGAAUUACAUUCCAUCAGCAAACUUCCUCCCCACGAUCUUGUUUGGGAAUCUGAGGGACCCCUAGGUUGAUCAAAAGUACGUUCUCUGGUAGGUGAGGAAGUGGGUGGUGAGGCUGGAAUGUGCUGAGCGUCUCUCCCUCUUGCUCACUCCGCACCUCCCAACCCCAGCUUCAGGACAAAAGGUCAAAAGCUAAAAUAAAACCUAGAGCUACUGGCACUUCCAAUGAAAUGGGAGCCUUUCUCUGGGGCUCCAGUCCUACCAGGGCCCCACCUCCAGCACCGCCCACUCACCCCGGCCCCUCUGCUGGGCUGGGACCCUACAGGGCCCCCCUGACGCCUGCAGCAGGCCCAGCGCAGUCCCCUCUCCUGGGCUGACACUCACCACUCGCUCCACCCCUUCCCCUCCUGUGUCCGAGUCCUUCAGCCGCAGUGUGGACUGAGCUGCUCUGUCCUACCCCCCAGGACUGUGCACCCCGAGGGCAGAGCGUCCUCCCAGGCGAGAUGCAAGAUCCUUGGGAGCAGCACUGGACCCGGGGGAACUGCCCAAAGUGCUUACAACACCCUGGAUGCUGUUUACUCUCCAUCAGUGUGUCCCCCCCAUAAACACGCACCCACAGCGAUACGGACACCUGUUCUAAGGACCCUAACAGGCCAUCUUGUAAGGAAAGUGCCACCUCAAUGUGGUCAAACUUGCUGUUUAAUCCUCAGAAGCUUCUCUCUCCUUGAAAUAGGAAAAAGACAAAAGCCAGCCCCCAGAAUGCCACUGGCCAUGUAAGUAAGUGUCAUCUGGCAGGAACACCCCCAGCAAUGUGAACUUCCGGGGUCUGCAACACGGAAGAGAGCCCCGCUCGUUUCUAACCCAGAAUGCCUAUCCUGACGCCUGAAAAAGCACCAGAAACAGAUGCUCUCCCUCCCGGGCCUCCUUAUCUGCAAAUUCUGAAUAAAGACUUUCUUCUUGGGAACAACAAUGGCCAGUGAAACACAGAGAGCCUCUGUCCCAGUGUCAGCGGCCAACUCCCACAGUAACACUUCACAUCGGCAGCAGAGAAAGACCUAUUUUGUGGAGCACGACAUACGCGCACACCUCUACCGCUCACCCAUGUAGAUGGGAGUUCAGUCAGCAGGACAAGGAGAGGACGAGGAAGAAAAGCAGGACGGCGGCUGGCCCGUCCGUGUUCCGCCCUGUCUUAGCCAACGCCGAGCCCCUGCCACGCGCUUUCACACCGGCCGGAGUCCCUGGGUGGGUUCAACACCCACAGGCCUGUCCGCCGGCUGCCAGGAGCCAUCACCGUAUUUUCUUCCAGUGCUUUCCGCCUGUCCCAGUGCCUGUCUUUCUUCCUACCGAUUCUUAUCUUCAGAACUGUCUUCCUUUUGCUGUGCUUGUGCGGAAAGGAGGUUGGAGCUCAGAAUCUACAGACGGGGCGUAAGCGAACGAAACUCAUGGCUUUCCUGAACGCCGACCUUCUGAGUUCCAGUCUAGAAGGAACACCACCCUCUGCUCUCGGGUCAAUCUAACAGCCGGAAAGGAACAACCCGCACGCAGCUCGAUCUCUGACUCCAGGCAAAGGUCCUUAGACAGCAAACGACACUGCAGCUUGAGAAGCAGCAGCUAGAGGAGAAGGUCAGAGCCGACCACCUACUUUCACAAAGGCGGGGGACCCAAACCAUCCUCCCAGCUGCACAGAAAGCGCCAAGAGACCUGGCACAGGGACCUGAGCAGAUCGCACAGAGGCCAGUGAGACCACAGGCAAAUGCUCCAGAGGGACAUGGGCCCGCCCUUGAUUGGAAAGCAGUUCUGAGUCAGUUCAGGCCCACUCUGCACCUGGGGACAUCUCCGUCACGGCACAGUUCCCUGGAGUGUCCAUGUCUGCAGACUGGCCCGAGCUGGCAGGUGCCUGGACCCCAUGCCAAGCUCUGACCAGGUACAUGGCGUCAAGUUCAUGAAAAGGACGGACUGAAAUUGUCCUGGGCCAGAGGAGACCGAGGGGCUCGACCACGAGACACAAUGUGAUCCCCGGAUGAAAUCCUGGAACAAAAGAGGACACUGGGGGAACCUAACGCAAACCCCAAACGGGUGAGCAUUUAGUUAACAGCACACAUCGAUUUCUGACUAUUGACAGAUGUGGCAUGCUUGCACAGAUGUUAACACGAGGGGAAGUAGGUGAUGGGUACCAUGCAAGCUCCGUGCCGUCUUUGCAACUUUUGUAUACAUCAAAAAAUAUUCCAAAAUGAAGUUUAUUAUAAAAAUAAGUUUGUUUGGAGGC
Long non-coding RNA from Rhinolophus ferrumequinum (greater horseshoe bat), 4122 nucleotides. RefSeq lists it as uncharacterized. The record is from RefSeq and is a predicted model, not a curated record. The transcript has 2 exons. Lineage: Eukaryota; Metazoa; Chordata; Mammalia; Chiroptera; Rhinolophidae.